GUGAAUCAUCAAAUCUUUGAACGCACAUUGCACUCCCUGGUAUUCCGGGGAGUAUGCCUGUUUGAGGGUCGUUAGAAGACCAAUAGAAGCAUCGCUCUUUUUUUGAGGGUGAUCGCGUCGCAAUUGAGCAGUGUUUCAACUGUUACUUCAUGUCAAAGUGGUUUAAAAUCCAUUCAUCAGAUACGCUUAAAG
This 192-nucleotide unclassified non-coding RNA is filed under the name Glomeraceae sp. Its description in RNAcentral is "partial contains 5.8S ribosomal RNA and internal transcribed spacer 2". The stretch from base 1 to 71 matches the Rfam family "5.8S ribosomal RNA", at positions 84 to 154 of the family's 154-position model. The record is from RNAcentral. Lineage: Eukaryota; Fungi; Glomeromycota; Glomeromycetes; Glomerales; Glomeraceae.